UAGUCCACGCCGUAAACGAUGAAUACUCGUUGUCUGCGAUAUACUGUAGGCGACUGAGCGAAAGCAUUAAGUAUUCCACCUGGGGAGUACGUUGGCAACAAUGAAACUCAAAGGAAUUGACGGGGGCCCGCACAAGCGGAGGAACAUGUGGUUUAAUUCGAUGAUACGCGAGGAACCUUACCCGGGUUUAAAUGCAGGACGAAAGUUCGGGAAACCGAACCCCUUCGGGCGGACUGCAAGGUGCUGCAUGGCUGUCGUCAGCUCGUGCCGUGAGGUGUCGGGUUAAGUCCCAUAACGAGCGCAACCCCUAUUGUUAGUUGCUAACAGGUUAAGCUGAGGACUCUAACGAGACUGCCACCGUAAGGUGUGAGGAAGGUGGGGAUGACGUCAAGUCAGCAUGCCCCUUACACCCUGGGCUACACACGUGCUACAAUGGGCAGACAAUGAGAUGCGACUCUGCGAAGAUUAGCUAAUCUAGAAACUCGUUCUAAGUUCGGAUUGCAGG
This 505-nucleotide ribosomal RNA is filed under the name uncultured bacterium. RNAcentral describes it as "bacterial SSU rRNA". It matches the Rfam family "Bacterial small subunit ribosomal RNA", at positions 791 to 1304 of the family's 1533-position model. The record is from RNAcentral.